AGAACGAACGCUGGCGGCAGGCCUAACACAUGCAAGUCGAGCGCCCGUAGCAAUACGGGAGCGGCAGACGGGAUAGUAACACGUGGGAACGCGCCCUUCGGUUCGGAAUAACUCAGGGAAACUUGAGCUAAUACCGAAUACGCCCUUACGGGGAAAGAUUUAUUGCCGAAGGAACGGCCCGCGUCCGAUUAGCUAGUUGGUGAGGUAAUGGCUCACCAAGGCUACGAUCGGUAGCUGGUCUGAGAGGAUGACCAGCAUCACUGGGACUGAGACACGGCCCAGACUCCUACGGGAGGCAGCAGUGGGGAAUAUUGGACAAUGGGCGCAAGCCUGAUCCAGCCAUGCCGCGUGGAUGAUGAAGGCCUUAGGGUUGUAAAGUCCUUUUAACGGGGAGAUAAUGACGGUACCGUAGAAUAAGCCCGGCUAACUUCGUGCAGCAGCCGC
Molecule: ribosomal RNA, 444 nt
Filed under: uncultured bacterium
Lineage: Bacteria
Description: SSU rRNA
Rfam family: Bacterial small subunit ribosomal RNA
Source: RNAcentral